UNGAUAUGUUGCCUACUUAUUAAAGUUCC
RNAcentral lists this non-coding RNA (29 nucleotides) under Mus musculus (house mouse). Lineage: Eukaryota; Metazoa; Chordata; Mammalia; Rodentia; Muridae. The record is from RNAcentral.